GCCUGGGUGGCUCAGUCGGUUGGGCGUCUGACUUCAGCUCAGGUCAUGAUCUUACACUCUGUGAGUUCAAGCCCCGCGUCAGGCU
Molecule: transfer RNA, 85 nt
Organism: Felis catus (domestic cat)
Lineage: Eukaryota; Metazoa; Chordata; Mammalia; Carnivora; Felidae
Rfam family: tRNA
About the family: Transfer RNA (tRNA) molecules are approximately 80 nucleotides in length. Their secondary structure includes four short double-helical elements and three loops (D, anti-codon, and T loops).
Source: Rfam